GAACCACCAUAAAGCUAUCUUUAGGGAUAUUAGGGCCACACCCUGCAUGAAGACCUGAAUAGACCUAACCGUAUAGUGAAGGGCAACAACAACAUGGCUAGGAUUUAGCCCUCAAUGACCACAAUGUUGAAGAUUUAUGGUCAUGUGCGUAUUGAUGCGGGAUAAGUGCCCAACUUCUUCAUCUAUUUCAUUUUUGUUGUUGAAAUUGUUCACUCUUAAAGUACUCACUUUGCUUCUUCAUCUUUGGCAGUUUGAUGACAUUAUCAAUGUUAAGAGCAUUUGUUAAUGGUUGCUGAAUAAAAAGGGCUAGGUGCACCGAAGAAUUGUAAGCAUAAUAAGAAUGCUCUAUUCUUUGUAUCUGACCCAACCAAGAUGAAGAAAUGCAAGGACAUGUGACGCAUGGAAGUGGGUGACUCAAAAGCUCGAAGUAUAAGCAUCAACGUUAACAUGCAUAUGAACAUUGUGAUGCUUAUCUUUAGAAACAAUGCUUUUUAUUUUAAAAUAGUUACCUUAAUUAGUGCUAGUAGAUUGUGUGUUGGUGGAUUAUUAGUGAUCCAUUGAUGACAAAACUGUUGGUUUCUGAAUCUAUGCAAAUGUCCCACGACCAAGGAUGUCUUGGACAAUAUGCCUCAUGUUUCUAUCAAAUAUCCUAAGUAUCAAGCCUCUUUGGGUUUUCCCAUAUCAGGCAGCACGACAAAGCCAUUGGCAUGUAUAGAACUUUGUUGGUAAUGUGUAAUGUAAUAAAAGUUGUAUAACCUAUGUGGUAUCAACUAUGUGGUUAACCUAUGUGGUAUCAACUAUGUGGUUACCUGAUUUUGGUCCCAAUAAUAUCCUGGCCACAAACUAGCAUCUUGACAAAACUAUACACUUGGAAUUUAUUUUAACCACUGGACGUGUGAAUUACUAACGCAAUGGUAGUAUGGAUGUUGUAAUUAACUCAAAUUAAGAGAUAUGGUUGAUUUUUUUUGUACUAGCCACUGAUAGCUAACAAUUCUCACAAAUCAAUGAAGGAUGUUCUAUUUUGUUUUGAGUUUCACACAAAAGAUAAAAGAAAUAGGUA
RNAcentral lists this long non-coding RNA (1060 nucleotides) under Lupinus angustifolius (narrow-leaved blue lupine). Its description in RNAcentral is "long non-coding RNA (LANG_LNC002600)". Lineage: Eukaryota; Viridiplantae; Streptophyta; Magnoliopsida; Fabales; Fabaceae. The record is from RNAcentral.